AUAAGAGGUCCAGCCUGCCCAGUGACCCUGUUCAACGGCCGCGGUAUCCUAACCGUGCGAAGGUAGCGUAAUCACUUGCUCUUUAAAUAAGGGCUAGUAUGAAUGGCACCACGAAGGUUAUACUGUCUCCUUUUUCUAAUCAGUGAAACUAAUUUUCCCGUGAAGAAGCGGGAAUUUAUUUAUAAGACGAGAAGACCCUAUGGAGCUUUAAACAUUUAUAACAAUUGCUAAUUAAACUUUAAAAUUUCAGAAUAAUUACAAUUAUCCUAGCACUAUGAUUAUGAGUUUUAGGUUGGGGUGACCGCGGAGCAAAAAUAAACCUCCUCAUUGAAAGAAUUACACUUCUAAGCCAAAAGUUACAACUUCAUGCAUCAACAAAUUGACAUUAAUUGACCCAAUAUUUUGAUCAACGAACCAAGUUACCCUAGGGAUAACAGCGCAAUCCACUUCAAGAGCUCAUAUCGACAAGUGGGUUUACGACCUCGAUGUUGGAUCAGGAUAUCCCAGUGGUGCAGCCGCUACUAAAGGUUCGUUUGUUCAACGAUUAAAACCCU
RNAcentral lists this ribosomal RNA (554 nucleotides) under Insuetophrynus acarpicus. RNAcentral's name for it is "partial 16S ribosomal RNA". It matches the Rfam family "Bacterial large subunit ribosomal RNA", at positions 1845 to 2597 of the family's 2925-position model. Lineage: Eukaryota; Metazoa; Chordata; Amphibia; Anura; Rhinodermatidae. The record is from RNAcentral.